Molecule: long non-coding RNA, 1430 nt
Filed under: Papio anubis (olive baboon)
Lineage: Eukaryota; Metazoa; Chordata; Mammalia; Primates; Cercopithecidae
Description: lncRNA (ENSPANG00000039761.1)
Source: RNAcentral
AUGUAUCUUAGUCUCUUCCACCCCUUGGUUCACACUGUUCUGCCCAGAAACUUCUCUUUACUCCCACAAUUCUUGGAAUUGUUCUUUUCCUCCCUGUUUCAGAUAUAUUCGUUGCUGUUUCCUCUGUUUCUUAGAGAAAUGGAUGUGAGAAUGAAAAGUGGCACUACUCCUCAUUCAUUUUCCUUCUACAAAAUAAUUGUCUCUCAAUUUGUAUAUAUUUCUUUUUAACAAAGUAAAACUUCUUAUGCACAUAGAUUCAUCGGAUUGAAAAAAUGAGAGUUUCUUAAAGGUAGAAAACCAGGAAUACAUUGGUAAAUUCAUGAAGCUAGAAAGUAGCUAAUCAAAACUCUUAUGACAACUUCUGGGGUUGAUUAAGAAUAGCCAUAAUUCUUUGUAACAAAUCCCCUCAAGAGGUGGAAUCUAUGUCCAUACUCCUUGGCCCUGUUCUGGCCUUGAGACUUGCUUUGAUCAAUAGAAGGUGACAGAAGUGACUCUGCACACAUUCCAAGAGUAGGCCUCCUACGAUGCUGCUACCUAUGAACAAGUCCAAGUUAGCCUCAUGGAAAACGAAAAACAUGUGAAGAGGGGUCCCUGCCUUCCUGACAUCCCGGUCCACCCCAGUGAAGCCCACAGAGGUGAGGAAACCCAGCUGAUACCAUGUGGUUCUGAGACCAGCUUAUCAGCUGAUUCCUGCCCAAACUGCCAGCCCACAAAAUCAAGAGCAAAUAAAUGGUUGCUGUUAUAACUAGUUGGUUUGUUACACAGAAACAGCUAAUCAAUAUGCCUUCUUAACCUCAAUUAUCUAAAAAAGAUCUCCCUCCUCACCAAUUCAUAGCUAAGUGGUUCUCCAAGGAAUAUUAUGAAUAAUAAUACAAAUUUCCUGUUUUUGUGCAUCACGUGAAAAUGGUCAGAAUCAAAAUGGAGUCACUAAUAUUAAAAAACAAACAAAAGACUCUAACAAAUACAGCUGGGAAGGCCAUGAAAGGAGGGUUCUAAUGUUGUACACCUGAAAGCCAAAACUACCAAGACUGCAAAAACCAUAACCUUGAACAAAGCCCACUGCAACUGAACACAAAGCAUACUCUGCAAGGACCUCUGAACAACUGCCUGUGCAACCUCAGACUAACACUUUCAUGACCGAUCUUUGUAGCCAAGGCUACUUAUUUCAAAGCAAUUCGAUAAUCCUCAUUUUUUCCUUGAAAAAUUUUUGUCUUCCUUUAUUUCCCCAAAUAUACACAUACUUUCCUCUGGCAUGCGUAUUCCCACUGCAGUGCUCUAUUCCCAGAGAAAUAUUUUUCUUUUAGGGACCUCUCUCUGUUAUUUAGCUUGACGGUCACUAAGGAUUUACUAUUUCAACAAUACUAGCCCUGCAUGUCAUCCAGUAUCCACUGGGAAAAUAAGGUCCCCAUGUGCAGAUCCAGGAGACUUUG